ACGGAAGGCAGCAGUGGGGAAUAUUGCACAAUGGGGGAAACCCUGAUGCAGCGACGCCGCGUGAGUGAAGAAGUUAUUCGUAAUGUAAAGCUCUAUCAGCAGGGAAGAAAAUGACGGUACCUGACUAAGAAGCCCCGGCUAACUACGUGCCAGCAGCCGCGGUAGUACGUAGGGGGCAAGCGUUAUCCGGAUUUACUGGGUGUAAAGGGAGCGUAGACGGUUUGGCAAGUCUGAAGUGAAAUGCGGGGGCUCAACUCCUGAACUGCUUUGGAAACUGUCGAACUAGAGUGCAGGAGAGGUAAGUGGAAUUCCUAGUGUAGCGGUGAAAUGCGUAGAUAUUAGGAGGAACACCAGUGGCGAAGGCGGCUUACUGGACUGUAACUGACGUUGAGGCUCGAAAGCGUGGGGAGCAAACAGGAUUAGAUACCCUGGUA
This 434-nucleotide ribosomal RNA is filed under the name uncultured Clostridium sp. RNAcentral describes it as "partial 16S ribosomal RNA". It matches the Rfam family "Bacterial small subunit ribosomal RNA", at positions 341 to 792 of the family's 1533-position model. Lineage: Bacteria; Bacillati; Bacillota; Clostridia; Eubacteriales; Clostridiaceae. The record is from RNAcentral.